AGAGUUUGAUCAUGGCUCAGGAUGAACGCUAGCUACAGGCUUAACACAUGCAAGUCGAGGGGCAGCAUGACGAUUGCUUGCAAUUGUUGAUGGCGACCGGCGCACGGGUGAGUAACGCGUAUCCAACCUUCCCCUUAGUAGGGCAUAGCCCGGCGAAAGUCGGAUUAAUACCCUAUGUUUUCCAAUGAGGACAUCUGAGCUGGAACAAAGAUUUAUCGCUAAGGGAUGGGGAUGCGUCUGAUUAGCUUGUUGGCGGGGUAACGGCCCACCAAGGCAACGAUCAGUAGGGGUUCUGAGAGGAAGGUCCCCCACAUUGGUACUGAGCCAGGAUCAAACU
Molecule: ribosomal RNA, 337 nt
Filed under: uncultured Prevotella sp.
Lineage: Bacteria; Pseudomonadati; Bacteroidota; Bacteroidia; Bacteroidales; Prevotellaceae
Description: bacterial SSU rRNA
Rfam family: Bacterial small subunit ribosomal RNA
Source: RNAcentral